GCGUGUUCACAAGAUAAUCUCUAGUCGUCGGUAGCUAAUUCGACUUGUUCUCGAGAAAAAUGGAGAGGAUGAUAUCAUCGUGCAUAACGUUGAUAAAGAAUUUGAAUUUAGAAUUGGCAUGACAUUUGCUAACGAGGAUGAAGCUUAUAAUGCAUACAAUGCGUUUGCAAUUUGCAAGGGAUUUGGAGUGCGAAAAGGACAAAAAUCAAACAAUAGCAAGGGAAUAUUACG
Long non-coding RNA from Rhodamnia argentea, 231 nucleotides. RefSeq lists it as uncharacterized. The transcript is spliced from 3 exons. The record is from RefSeq and is a predicted model, not a curated record. Lineage: Eukaryota; Viridiplantae; Streptophyta; Magnoliopsida; Myrtales; Myrtaceae.